Molecule: ribosomal RNA, 484 nt
Filed under: uncultured bacterium
Lineage: Bacteria
Description: partial 16S ribosomal RNA
Rfam family: Bacterial small subunit ribosomal RNA
Source: RNAcentral
AUUGAACGCUGGCGGCAUGCUUUACACAUGCAAGUCGAACGGCAGCGCGGGCUUCGGCCUGGCGGCGAGUGGCGAACGGGUGAGUAAUGCAUCGGAACGUGCCCAGUAGUGGGGGAUAGCCCGGCGAAAGCCGGAUUAAUACCGCAUACGACCUUAGGGUGAAAGCGGGGGACCGAAAGGCCUCGCGCUAUUGGAGCGGCCGAUGACGUAUUAGCUAGUUGGUGGGGUAAAGGCUUACCAAGGCGACGAUCCGUAGCUGGUCUGAGAGGACGACCAGCCACACUGGGACUGAGACACGGCCCAGACUCCUACGGGAGGCAGCAGUGGGGAAUUUUGGACAAUGGGGGCAACCCUGAUCCAGCCAUGCCGCGUGCGGGAAGAAGGCCUUCGGGUUGUAAACCGCUUUUGUUCGGGAAGAAAUCCUCUGGGCUAAUACCCCGGGGGGAUGACGGUACCGGAAGAAUAAGCACCGGCUAACUACGUG